UACGAAGGGGGCGAGCGUUGUUCGGAUUUACUGGGCGUAAAGGGCGCGUAGGCGGUUCGAUAAGUCCCGUGUGAAAUCCCUCGGCUCAACUGAGGAAUGGCACGGGAAACUGACGGGCUUGAGUUCGGGAGAGGGAAGCGGAAUUCCGGGUGUAGCGGUGAAAUGCGUAGAUAUCCGGAGGAACACCGGUGGCGAAGGCGGCUUCCUGGACCGACACUGACGCUGAGGCGCGAAAGCUAGGGGAGCAAACGGG
Molecule: ribosomal RNA, 253 nt
Filed under: uncultured bacterium
Lineage: Bacteria
Description: partial 16S ribosomal RNA
Rfam family: Bacterial small subunit ribosomal RNA
Source: RNAcentral